UCCGAGUUGACCCCGGCAGUCUCCCAUGAGUCCCCGCCAUUACGCGCUGGCAACAUGGAACGAGGGUUGCGCUCGUUGCGGGACUUAACCCAACAUCUCACGACACGAGCUGACGACAGCCAUGCACCACCUGUGAUCGAGUCCCGAAGGAAAACCGUGUUUCCACGGCGGUCACCAACAUGUCAAGCCCAGGUAAGGUUCUUCGCGUUGCGUCGAAUUAAACCACAUGCUCCGCUGCUUGUGCGGGCCCCCGUCAAUUCCUUUGAGUUUCAAUCUUGCGAUCGUACUUCCCAGGUGGGAUACUUAAUGCUUUCGCUCAGACACACACAGUGUAUCGCGUAUGUCGAGUAUCCAUAGUUUAGGGCGUGGACUAC
Molecule: unclassified non-coding RNA, 374 nt
Filed under: uncultured bacterium
Lineage: Bacteria
Description: contains 16S-23S intergenic spacer region
Source: RNAcentral